GUGUUCCUGAGGCUCAGUCAGUAGAGCAUUGUGCUAGCGACACAAUGGUCAUGGGUUCAAACCCCAGGGAAAGCA
RNAcentral lists this transfer RNA (75 nucleotides) under Danionella cerebrum. Its description in RNAcentral is "tRNA-Ala". It matches the Rfam family "tRNA". Rfam says of the family: Transfer RNA (tRNA) molecules are approximately 80 nucleotides in length. Their secondary structure includes four short double-helical elements and three loops (D, anti-codon, and T loops). Lineage: Eukaryota; Metazoa; Chordata; Actinopteri; Cypriniformes; Danionidae. The record is from RNAcentral.